AUUUCAAUGGCAGCCAUUGUAA
RNAcentral lists this small nuclear RNA (22 nucleotides) under Arabidopsis thaliana (thale cress). RNAcentral's name for it is "snRNA_12683". The record is from RNAcentral. Lineage: Eukaryota; Viridiplantae; Streptophyta; Magnoliopsida; Brassicales; Brassicaceae.